This is a non-coding RNA of Triticum aestivum (bread wheat), 119 nucleotides long. The record is from Rfam. NCBI's taxonomy places the organism in Eukaryota, Viridiplantae, Streptophyta, Magnoliopsida, Poales, Poaceae.
CAAGUACUCCCUCCGUCCCAAAAUUCUUGUCUUAGAUACAUCCAAAUACAUUUUAGUGUUAGAUACAUCCGUAUCUAGACAAAUAUAAGACAAGAAUUUUGGGACGGAGGGAGUACAAA